ACAGUUUAUACCGUAGCUUGCUACACCAUAGACUGUGAGUUGCGAACGGGUGAGUAACGCGUAGGUAACCUGCCUAUUAGAGGGGGAUAACUAUUGGAAACGAUAGCUAAUACCGCAUAACAGUAUGUAACACAUGUUAGAUGCUUGAAAGAUGCAAUUGCAUCGCUAGUAGAUGGACCUGCGUUGUAUUAGCUAGUAGGUAGGGUAAAGGCCUACCUAGGCAACGAUACAUAGCCGACCUGAGAGGGUGAUCGGCCACACUGGGACUGAGACACGGCCCAGACUCCUACGGGAGGCAGCAGUAGGGAAUCUUCGGCAAUGGGGGGAACCCUGACCGAGCAACGCCGCGUGAGUGACGAAGGUUUUCGGAUCGUAAAGCUCUGUUGUUAAGGAAGAACGAGUGUGAGAAUGGAAAGUUCAUACUGUGACGGUACUUAACCAGAAAGGGACGGCUAACUACGUGCCAGCAGCCGCGGUAAUACGUAGGUCCCGAGCGUUGUCCGGAUUUAUUGGGCGUAAAGCGAGCGCAGGCGGUUAGAAAAGUCUGAAGUGAAAGGCAGUGGCUCAACCAUUGUAGGCUUUGGAAACUGUUUAACUUGAGUGCAGAAGGGGAGAGUGGAAUUCCAUGUGUAGCGGUGAAAUGCGUAGAUAUAUGGAGGAACACCGGUGGCGAAAGCGGCUCUCUGGUCUGUAACUGACGCUGAGGCUCGAAAGCGUGGGGAGCGAACAGGAUUAGAUACCCUGGUAGUCCACGCCGUAAACGAUGAGUGCUAGGUGUUAGGUCCUUUCCGG
RNAcentral lists this ribosomal RNA (792 nucleotides) under uncultured Streptococcaceae bacterium. RNAcentral's name for it is "bacterial SSU rRNA". It matches the Rfam family "Bacterial small subunit ribosomal RNA", at positions 63 to 837 of the family's 1533-position model. The record is from RNAcentral. Lineage: Bacteria; Bacillati; Bacillota; Bacilli; Lactobacillales; Streptococcaceae.